AAGGAUUUAAGUUAACUAAACUCUCAACCUUCAAAGCUGAAAAUAGAUUUUUAGUCUAAGCCUUA
Molecule: transfer RNA, 65 nt
Filed under: Chrysolina rufoaenea
Lineage: Eukaryota; Metazoa; Arthropoda; Insecta; Coleoptera; Chrysomelidae
Description: tRNA-Trp
Source: RNAcentral